Molecule: ribosomal RNA, 465 nt
Filed under: uncultured bacterium
Lineage: Bacteria
Description: partial 16S ribosomal RNA
Rfam family: Bacterial small subunit ribosomal RNA
Source: RNAcentral
GAUGAACGCUGGCGGCGUGCUUAACACAUGCAAGUCGAACGGAAAGGCUCCUGCUUGCAGGGGUACUCGAGUGGCGAACGGGUGAGUAACACGUGGGGGAUAUGCCCUGCACUUCGGGAUAAGCCUGGGAAACUGGGUCUAAUACCGGAUAGGACGAUGGUUUGGAUGCCAUUGUGGAAAGUUUUUCGGUGUGGGAUGAGCUCGCGGCCUAUCAGCUUGUUGGUGGGGUAAUGGCCUACCAAGGCGUCGACGGGUAGCCGGCCUGAGAGGGUGUACGGCCACAAUGGGACUGAGGUACGGCCCAGACUCCUACGGGAGGCAGCAGUGGGGAAUAUUGCACAAUGGGCGCAAGCCUGAUGCAGCGACGCCGCGUGGGGGAUGACGGCCUUCGGGUUGUAAACUCCUUUCGCUAUGGACGAAGCGCAAGUGACGGUACCUGGAGAAGAAGCACCGGCUAACUACGUG